RNAcentral lists this ribosomal RNA (467 nucleotides) under uncultured bacterium. Its description in RNAcentral is "partial 16S ribosomal RNA". It matches the Rfam family "Bacterial small subunit ribosomal RNA", at positions 28 to 507 of the family's 1533-position model. The record is from RNAcentral.
GACGAACGCUGGCGGCGUGCUUAACACAUGCAAGUCGAACGGAAAGGCCCUGCUUUUGUGGUGUGCUCGAGUGGCGAACGGGUGAGUAACCCGUGAGUCACCUGCCCUUGACUUGGGAUAACUUCAGGAAACUGGGGCUAAUACCGGAUAGGAGCUCCUGCUGCAUGGUGGGGGUUGGAAAGUUUCGGCGGUUGGGGAUGGACUCGCGGCUUAUCCGCUUGUUGGUGGGGGAGUGGCUUACCAAGGCUUUGACGGGUAGCCGGCCUGAGAGGGUGACCGGCCACAUUGGGACUGAGAUACGGCCCAGACUCCUACGGGAGGCAGCAGUGGGGAAUAUUGCACUAUGGGCGGAAGCCUGAUGCAGCAACGCCGCGUGCGGGAUGACGGCCUUCGGGUUGUAAACCGCUUUCGCCUGUGACGAAGCGUGAGUGACGGUAAUGGGUAAAGAAGCACCGGCUAACUACGUG